RNAcentral lists this microRNA precursor (67 nucleotides) under Bombyx mori (domestic silkworm). RNAcentral describes it as "mir-2774 microRNA precursor family". It matches the Rfam family "mir-2774 microRNA precursor family". Lineage: Eukaryota; Metazoa; Arthropoda; Insecta; Lepidoptera; Bombycidae. The record is from Rfam by way of RNAcentral.
GUGAUAUACGGACCGUCGGUCUACCGAGAAAUAUCACCCGCUCGGUGGAAGAUCUUCCCUUCUUCGC